RNAcentral lists this ribosomal RNA (253 nucleotides) under uncultured bacterium. RNAcentral's name for it is "partial 16S ribosomal RNA". It matches the Rfam family "Bacterial small subunit ribosomal RNA", at positions 524 to 776 of the family's 1533-position model. The record is from RNAcentral.
UACAGAGGUCUCAAGCGUUGUUCGGAUUCAUUGGGCGUAAAGGGUGCGUAGGUGGCGCUGUAAGUCGGGUGUGAAAUUUCGGAGCUCAACUCCGAAACUGCAUUCGAUACUGCGGUGCUUGAGGACUGGAGAGGAGACUGGAAUUCAUGGUGUAGCAGUGAAAUGCGUAGAGAUCAUGAGGAAGACCAGUGGCGAAGGCGGGUCUCUGGACAGUUCCUGACACUGAGGCACGAAGGCCAGGGGAGCAAACGGG